Molecule: ribosomal RNA, 409 nt
Filed under: uncultured bacterium
Lineage: Bacteria
Description: bacterial SSU rRNA
Rfam family: Bacterial small subunit ribosomal RNA
Source: RNAcentral
AAUCAACGCUGGCGGCGUGCCUCAGACAUGCAAGUCGAACGUGAAAGUUCCUUCGGGGAUGAGUAAAGUGGCGCACGGGUGAGUAACACGUGGGUAAUUUGCCUUCGGGUGGGGAAUACCAACCGGAAACGGUUGUUAAUACCGCAUGAUGCAGCGGCUCCGAUUGGAGACAGUUGUUAAAGCGGGGGAGCGGAGCAAUCCGUCCUCGCGCCUGAAGAGAAGCCCGCGGCGGAUUAGGAGUUGGUGAGGUAAUGGCUCACCAAGCCUGCGAUCCGUAACCGACCUGAAAGGGUGGUCGGUCACACUGACACUGACAUACGGGUCAGACUCCUACGGGAGGCAGCAGUCGGGAAUUUUGGGUCAAUGGGCGCAAGCCUCGACCCACGCAACCGCCGCGUGAAGGAUGAAG